UACGAAGGGGGCGAGCGUUGUUCGGAUUUACUGGGCGUAAAGGGCGCGCAGGCGGCUCAUUUUGUCAGGCGUGAAAGCCCCGGGCUUAACCUGGGAACUGCGUUUGAUACGGGUGGGCUAGAGUUCGGGAGAGGAGAGUGGAAUUCCCAGUGUAGAGGUGAAAUUCGUAGAUAUUGGGAAGAACACCGGUGGCGAAGGCGGCUCUCUGGACCGAUACUGACGCUGAGGCGCGAAAGCGUGGGGAGCGAACGGG
Molecule: ribosomal RNA, 253 nt
Filed under: uncultured bacterium
Lineage: Bacteria
Description: partial 16S ribosomal RNA
Rfam family: Bacterial small subunit ribosomal RNA
Source: RNAcentral